This 5720-nucleotide long non-coding RNA is filed under the name Stegodyphus dumicola. RNAcentral describes it as "uncharacterized LOC118194528". Lineage: Eukaryota; Metazoa; Arthropoda; Arachnida; Araneae; Eresidae. The record is from RNAcentral.
GAAAUACCUCCUCCGUCAUCGCCCUCAACAUCUCAAGGGCCAGAACCUUUGCGGGCUAAAUCUGAGAAACUGCGCAAUGGCUACCCGUCGAGUGUCCAAACGAAAACGGAAGAAACAGGUUCGACGGAGGUGCAGUACGGUCCUUCUCCCAGCCUCAACGCCAGCAGUUUUUCAAGCGAGAAUUAUUUUCCUCCAACAAAUUCGAACACAGAACCAGGAGCCGAUGGCAAGCUUUCUGCUGCUACAAGAUGUACCUCCAAGUGUUCAUACUUUGAAAUAUUUUUCAUUUUAGGCCUAUGGUUUGGGCUGUUUAAGCUUUCGUGAUCACGUGCAAUUGAAACAUGGAUUGAAAUCGAUAAGGAGACUCGAUGCCGAAACAUACAAUCGAUACAGAAGAACUCCAUCGAUGAACUAAUGAUAAUAUGUAUCGUAAGCCAAAUUUCGGACAUUUUUCUGCUUCACUUUAUUCCAGAUAAUCAAUGCGAAGUGGUGCAUGAAUAUGUGAACAAAAAACAGUGUCUAUGUAAGUGCGCAAUGAUCAUUACUGUCGCAUCAGAUGACAUGUGAGGUGGAAAAAUACUUCACUUUCCUUUAUGAUCCAAUUUGUAGCCAAUUGAAUUAUUAACUACGUAUUACCUUCUAAACAUAUCUUGAGAAAUUAACUUACUUGAAGGAAUUCAUUUCUCUUUCAUGGAUAUUUUACUUACCAGCAUAUAGUUUUCUUUUCUACCACUAGCAGUAAUUUAAUUUAGGAACGGUUCAGAGGUACUGUCGAUGAAAUGAGAUGAGGAAAUAUAUUUUUAUCAGAUAUAAAUUGAUAUGUUCGGGCCCUUUUCGGCCAUUUCAAGACGAGAAAGAAGCAUUUUCUGAAAUUAAUAUAUUUUGGAAGUGAUUUAUCUUAAACAUAUACUUUAAUUUAUGAAUUAACAUUGAGGAAAGUUAUAGCUUAAAAUGACAUAUAUAUAUUAAAUUUAACAUGUAAAAAUCUUUUGAAUUUUUAGGUAAAAUGUUUAUUGUUACUAAUUUUUAAUAUCUUAUCAAAAAGUUUCUAAAAAACUUUUUCUUGCAAUACUAUGAAAUUAAAUACUAUAAACGUAAAUGUUCCUUUUUGUCUUAGAGAUUUUUUAAAUAUAAAUAAAAAAACAAGGAAAUUUAUUGUUUUACAUAGAAUUUUAUAAUAAAGGAAAAUACUUUUUUUGGCGAAGGGCGCUUAAUUUUAGUUUUUACAUCAGAUAAUUGAAAUAUAUUUUGUCCUUAAUAUUAAUUCCAUUUAACUAUUUUUAUAAAUAAAGAAUUCAUUAGGUUCUAAUACUGGAUAUUUUAUUUUAUAGACUUCAGUCAAUAUAUAGCUAAUAUCUUCUAAGUAAGGAUAGGCAUCAAAUUAUUUUACCUAAAUACAAAAUGUUUCUGAAAAGAGAAGAAUGUUUUAGAGACUUGUUUCACAGGUUGUUUGAAAUGAUAUGCACAGUGAAUAGAAGAAAAAGAGAGGAAAUCCUGAACAUUGUUGUGAGUUUUAUGCUGAUAAGGUACUAACGAUAGUAAUCACAUGAGGAUAAAUGUUAGUGAAAGCGUAUAUAUUCAAGUGAAAUGUAGAUCGUAGGAAAAUAUAUUUAUCAUGUUUUAAAUGUAGUAAAAUAUCUAGAAGUCUUUUACUCUUGAAAAAGUACUUCUGAAGCCAGAGCAUGGAUCAACUCUAUGUUUACUUUAAAACCUUUGAACCGUUUCUCUUCCUCUUUUAAUUUUCACGAAUGGCUUUUCUGGCUCAUUCGUACCUCGCAUUCAUUGGUGCUUCAUCUUACAGGGUCAUAAAUGUCGAGGGAAAAUAAGAAUAUCAUCGCAUAAAUAUCCUGCAUAAAUUAUUGUAUAUAUUUAGUUAAAUUAGAACAAGAUAUUUUAAUUUAUGCUGUUUACACAGUUCGCUUUUUACGCAGCCAUUUUUCGUUUACCUUUAUUGUGAUAAAAAACUUAAGGUAGAUUUAAGUAUGAUGCCACUCAACUUCUUAAACCGCAUGUUCAAGGCUAUAAAAAUUUUCCCAACUUUUUCUGUAGAAUCAAAUUUUAAGGCCAAAUAUUAAUAUAUUUUGUCCAAAAACAGCUCGAAAAUUAAAUUUUGAAUCUUGCAAUUUUCUUUCUCAUCUUUCCUCUUCCAAUAUAAGCUAAUGAUAUUGUUUCCUGAUAGGAAACAUCAAUUUACAUUUCAUGCAGCAUCUGAAAAGAAAUAUAAUACUCUAUCAAAAUUGUGUAACAGAUUUCACUAAUAAUUAAUAUUAAACGACGUAUCAUGAAAGCAAUGAGCUUAUAAUAAUCAUUAUACAGUUGGAAACUUAUUGAUAUAACUUUUUGUGGCUCUGCAAAUACUCAAAUUAUAAGCAAACAACUUUACUGAUCACUCAUAAUACCAGAGAGCAAAUUUAAUUUUCACGUGUAUAACUGAUUUUAUAAAAAAAAACUUAUUUUAUAAAAUUAAAUUUAAAAUAAGGUGUUGUGAUACAAAAUAAUUUCUUUUAAAUUUUCCUCAAAGCAGUAUUAUAUGAGUCUUUUCAUUUCAAAUCGUUCGCAGCAUACGCAAAGCAAAUUGAAUAUCAUGUGGAAGUUGUUUAUUUUAAAAUUGAAGUACAUAUAAAAGAGAUAUUUUUUGAAAAGUUUCACUAUGAAAGUUAUAUUUAUAAAAAAAAAAGCUUUGCACAAAAUUUCUUGAGCCUAUUUUAUUUCGUAGAAAUGUUUGUAUCUAAAUAAAACUCUUUCUUAAAAAGUAUACAAAAAUGAAUUGAUUCAAUAAUUUUAAGAGGAGAAAAGUAAGAAUAAACAUUUUUAUUUAAAUUUCAUUCUCUUUCUAAUAAAUAGUUUAGGAAAUUAUAUUUUCUAUUUUAAUAGUUUACGCGCUAAUGUCUUAAGUUACAAAUAUUUAUAAAAAAAUGCUUGAAUCAAUUAUUUUCGGAUUUUAUAUAACAAAACAUUUUCCCAAUUAAUUGCAUGAAAAUAUCUCUAAUAGUCUGAUUUAAAUAAAAAUAUUGUAAUAUAUGUUUUUCAGUAUUACUGAAGGCUUGUCAGUGCUUUUAUUUCUUAAUAUGAUAGAAAUGAGUAAAUUAAAAAUAAUUACAAAAUAAUUAUUAAUGAAUUACAUAUAAUAUUAUUCUAAGUGUUCUGUAUACGAAUGCUGUAAGUGGAUUCUUUAGAGAAAGAAAAUACAUGGACUACUUAAGAAUUUUAAACUGAAGUAGAUAAAUUAUCUUAUGCGUGUGUUGAUUUAGUGGCAUACAAACGUUUGCACCAUAUACGUUUGGAAUAUUCAUGUAGGAAAAUGUUUUUAAUUAUGACAUUUUUCUAAAUCAGUUUUUAAAGAUUUUAUAUAUCCAGAUUUUAUAAUCAAUUCAAACACAACACUAAAUUUCAUUUCAAAACAAUGUCCUUUUAGUUACGAAAAAUUACCUAACAUACCACAAACUAUCAUUUAUCAAAUAACGGUUAACAAGUUGGUCCCGAACAUGAUAUUCAGUAAUUGACUAAUUUUCCACUGAAAUCUUUAUUCAUUAUUUACUGUUCUCAAAAAAUGUCUAACAAAAAUCUGUUGCUUACUCAUUUUUUUUAAAAAUAUUGGAAGUUUCAAAGACUUUUUUAAAAAUUUCAUUUCUUUUUUGUAACAUGCUAAUCAACUGUAUAAAAGCUAUAUAUGGCGUUCUGUUAAUAAAGACUAUGAAUAAGGAAAAAAUAAUAAUGAUUGUGAAAACUGUAAUAUGAGUGAAUUAUAUACUAAUUCAUUUAUAUCAUUAAAUGUCGUUGUAAUGCUAAAUACUAUAUUUUAUAGUUAUAUUUAUUAUUAUUGUUAUUUAACGGUAUUCUUACAACAAUAAAGCAUGAUUAAUUCGAAAAGAAUUCUAGAAAAUGGGAUUUUUAAAAUUUUCUUAAUUCUAAUUAAAUAUUGUUGAGGUUACAUUAAAUAUUUCACCCCUGUUAAAAUGGUGUCCAGCAGUUUAUGCAAAACAGGAUGCAAAACUGAAAUUUUAUUGUAAAUUCAAUAUUUGUUCUAGAAUUAAAAUCAUUGCGAAGGUUUUAUCUCAUACUUUAUUUACAUUUUUGUGAAGUUCAUAUUCAAAUUCAAUAAGCAGAUUUCUACUCUUACAUGCAAGGAUGUAAUUUGAAUGCAGUUUUUAGAUCGGACGUUUAUGAAUGAUUUUCUGUUGUUGUCUAUUACUACUUAAUAUCAAUGCAAUUUUCUUCAGAUCAGUAUUUUAUUAUUUUACUCCAGAACAACAUAAGUUAUAUAUAUAUAUAUAUAUGAUCAUGCAUAGCUCUGAAAUGCAAAUACAAUAUGACGAGCACAACCUUUUUAUUUGUUUUUGAAGAUAACAACAUACAUUAUGAAUUUUGAAAGAGAAAUCGGAAUUGUUUUAAUUUACGUACGUACCAUACUCAUCUUAUGACAGGCUUUAAACUGAUUGCAUGUGACAUUCCAGGAAUAUGUGGAAUAAGAUAGGAAUCUAGUUGUAUCCUUUUUCUGAGCUUUUCUUUGAGAUCAAAAAACUUUACUCUGGAUGGAUGUAAAUUUAACGAUAUUUUAUCUACCUGUAUAUAUAUUUGUUAAGUAUUUAUCAAAAGUAUGUUUUUAUUAAAGCAUUCAUUUUCAAAGAAUUUAUAAGUGAGAAUAAUUUUAACCGUAUCGUAAAAUGAAAUUCUUAAUGAACAUAAGAAAAAUCGAAAUUUGUUCUUUUCAUAAUCUAUAUAGAUAAAUAUAAUAAUUAGAAAGCGUUGCUCUGUUAGAAAUUUCAAUAAUGUUUGCCAGCUCAGUUUCAAGGGACUAUUCACAGUCCUAAACAGAAUAUCUCGAAAGAGAAAGUAAACGAAAAAUAUGCUUAAAGAUGAUUAAAAAUACAGCAAAUAAAAACAGUUAUUUUUUAAAUUUCUUAAUUUUUCUUAUUUAGAAAUAUAAAGAAGAUAUGCAAAUAAGAGAAACUUAAUACUGCAUAUCAUAAUAAACAUUUAAUUGCUGUUUUUCAAAUGCAGUGUAAUGAAAAAUACAAUUGCUGUUUUUCAAGUGAAGUAUGAACCAUUAGCAUUUUUGCGAAAUCGUAACUAAUAUUUUAUUCAGAUUUGGAAAAUUAAGUUACAUAUUAAUACGCAAACAGCGGGUAAAAUUAAACUGUUGCGUAAUAUGAAUAUAUAAAAAUAAAAAAUACUAUGAAUGAAAUGAAAAAAAAUAAAAGGCAUGCAGCUGUAAAAAAUAAAUGUUGUUAACAUUAAUUCUUUUUUGCCGUCGAGAAAAACAUUUUUCUCUAACGCUUUUCUUUAAUGAUUAAGAGAAAGAUUUAAAGUUUUAUAUUUAUAUGUAUUUAUUAUUUAAUGUUAUGAAAUUACUAUUCCAUGAAACCUAAUACUCAAGUGCUACUAACACAAGUCUGUAAGAUUGUAACAAAUUAUUUUAAAAAGAAGAAAAUCCUCUGUCAUGUGUCAAUGCGAUUUUUCUACAAGUCAAUUACAUAUUCAUGUUUUGGUACAUUCCAAUGACUGAGUGACAAAAUAAAUUAGAUAUCAAGAGCAUUACGUCUUAAUUUGAAAAAAAAAAUGGAAUUCAUCAGCAGAUAAUCUUCUGAAUAUCAUAUGCUGUCUGAUUUUUUUUUACAUUUGUUUGAAGCUGAAAGACAUAAUUAUAAAUACUUAUGUAUUAUAUGGCAAUGUAAUGUUGCUAAUGUUUGCUAAUUAUGAAUAAAAUAUUCAACUAUCCA